This is a long non-coding RNA of Ictalurus punctatus (channel catfish), 666 nucleotides long. The record is from Ensembl. NCBI's taxonomy places the organism in Eukaryota, Metazoa, Chordata, Actinopteri, Siluriformes, Ictaluridae.
AAAAUGUAGAGACAGUGCAGUAACAUCCGAAAGUACAUAACUCAUGUACAAUUAAAGGCAUCCGUGUUAUGGUUGAAUUUGGCGCAAUGGACGAGAUUCGGUAAGGGCUCACUUAGCUAAAUCCACUUGUUGCGAUUGUCGAUGUUAGCUGUAAGCUAAAAACAACUAGGGUCUAGUUACAAAUACCUCCUUUUAUACGUAGUGCACUACGUAGGGUGUCAGAUGGUGGUAUUUGACACCAGUUUUAUGUGGGAGCCAUUUGGAUUCGAUUCUUCGGAAGAAGUUUUUGGGUACUCGGGUAAAAUUGAUAAUUAAGUAAUAAAUAACCGAUUAUCAUCAUAGCAUUUAAAAAAAAUAUUUUUAAAUAGUGGUCUAGCUAGUGGACAUCAGUUAUGAUGAGUGGUGAAACAUGUGGGGUAAUCAGGAUGCAGAGCGUGAGUCCAUUGCUGCCUCAGCGCCAGGAGAGUGUAGAGGGUCGCUCACCAAACCUGAGGCCGAGGCACGGGGAGCUGAUACCCACACCAUUUGGACCAAUAAAGCGGUUGUCAGAGCUCCAGUGCUUCGUUAAGGCUUACUUCUGCCUCACAAUCAUCUCCCUGGUGGUGCUCUUCAUUCUCACUAUAGUCAACAUCACGGAAGAGAGCAGGAAAGCGGACGACGAUGAUG